This 3093-nucleotide long non-coding RNA is filed under the name Macaca fascicularis (crab-eating macaque). RNAcentral describes it as "lncRNA (ENSMFAG00000057627.1)". Lineage: Eukaryota; Metazoa; Chordata; Mammalia; Primates; Cercopithecidae. The record is from RNAcentral.
UUUUUGAAUUGCUUAUUUCUAGGUUUUUUUUUUUAGUUUAAUUUUAUUUUUACCUUGCAGCUUCAGCUCAAGAAUAGUACGAUGUCUGUGAGGUCCGUUCACGUGGUUGCGGGUUUCAGUGGUGCAUUCUUUGAAACUGUUGAGUAGCUUUCCAUUGCAUGGACGUGCCUCUAUCUGUUAAUCCAUUUACCAGUUGGAGAACAUCCGGAUUUUUCUGGUUUGGAGCUAUUAGAAUAAAACUGCUAUAAACAUUCAUGUGCACAUCUUUUUGGUGACCACAUAUUUUCAUUUAUCUUGGGUAAAAAACCUAAGGGUGGAAUGGCUGGUUCAUACGUCUCAUAAGAAACUCCAAACUGUUUUCCAAGGUGGCUGCACCAUCUAACAUUUCCAUCAACCAUAUAUUAGAGUCCAGAGUCUCCACAUCCUUGACAAGACUUGGUAUUGUCAGCUUUUAAACUUGAGCCACUGUAGUGCAGUACUAUCUCACGGAAAUUUUAAUUUUCAUUUCCCAAUGACUAAUGAUGUUGAACAUCCUUUUAUGAGCGUAUCAGGUAAUGCAUUUUUAUUAGUCUGGCUAAUGUGAUAAAGAACCUGCUCAGGGGAGGUGCUUGCUCUGUCUCUUGCUUCCUCUGCAGCCUCCCUGUGUCCAAGAAGUUUUUAAGAUGUAAACUUUUUAUGCACAAGAAUCCUGUCUUAAUAGUUAUCGCAUCUCUAGCACAGUUUCUGACACACUGAAGGUACUCAGUAAGUCUACUGAAAAAAGAUGAGCAAACAGAUUCCAGUUAAUUCUAGGAUGUAAUCUGAUGACAUACUUGGGACCUACUAAAGAGUGUGAAGCAGCAGCUUUCUCUAACUGAAUGGCCCAAGACUACUAUUUUUUAAAAUAGCUAUGAUUAAACUGUCUCUCCUUUCACAUCAAAUCUUCAGCUUCUCCCUGCCUGUAGAUGACCCACCUUCCAAACCGGUGAUUUGAAUCUACUGUAGGCUUGUUUGGGAAGCUGACAAAGAAGUUUGUUUUGACUUCUAAAUUUACAACUGUAUAAAUACAGUCAUGCAUCACUUAAUGAUGAAGAUAUGUUCUGAAAAAUGCACCUUUUGAUAAUUUCAUGGUUGUCGAACAUCAUACAGCGUACUUACACAAACCUAGACAGUAUAGCCUACUACACACCUAGGCUAUGAGGAAUAGCCUAUUGCCCCUAGGCUACAAACCUGUAGAGCACGACACUGCAGUGAAUACUCCAGGCAACUGGAACACCAUGGCAAGUAUUUUGUGUAUCUAAGUGUAUCUCAACAUAGAAAAGAUAAUGCAUUACGCUAUGACAUUACAACAGCUGUGAGGUCACUAGGUGAUGAGGUUUUCUCAGCUCCAUUAUAAUCUUAUGGGACCAUCAUUGCAUAAGUGGUCCAUCAUUGACAAAAUGUUGGUACACGACACAUGACAAUAAAAGCAAAUAGGCCUGUGUGAUGACCUUAAAGACUUUAAAAGAUGAUUGUACAGGAAAUUCCUACAGAAUGUCUCUUCCCCACCAACAGCUAAGGCUUCACAUGUUGCAACAAGUGACUCUGGUCCAGGCAGCAAUUUAACCUUAAGGUUCAAUGCAGACUUGGGCUUUGAGAAGAGACACCAAGAAAGAGGGAUCUGAGUUCAAAUUCCAUCUCUUCUGCUUACAAUUUAGACCUUAGGAAGUUCCUGAAUCCCUGAGGCUCAGAGUCUUCAUUUGAAAAUCAGGAAAAAGAAUAACAUGUUUAUGGAUUGUUUCAACAAUCAAAUGAGGAGAUGGGUGUAGAAGCUCUCCACACUGCACCUACUCACAGCAGCCAUUAAUAUUGUUAGUUUCCUUUGUCGUGAGCCAAGAAGGCUUGGGCGGUUGCUGCCAUUGGUGCUGGCCCAGGUCUCUCUUAGUGGUUGGUACCACAGUGCCAGCUGCUGAGUGCAGGGCUAAAGCUGGGACUCUCUGCAGAACUGCCCUUCAUCAGUAGGGCACCUGGAUAGGGCCUCAUUGAAGGCUGUACCCCCACUCUGCCCCUGGGGGUUUUCAACGACCGACCACUUUAAGUACAAAUGCUAAGGCCCUUGACUCAAGAAGGGCAACUCUGGGUGUGAUUUAAGCCAGAGAACUACCCCCUCCCCACCUCUCCCACCGACAAUGGUUCAGGCCAAGGCUGAGCUGCCCUGCUACCCCUUCAUCCUCCCUUUGCAGCCCCUCCCCGGCCCUGUCCUGCUUCUCUCCCUCUUUUAUAGAUAUCCCCUGAGAGCUCUCCCUCAAUAAAACACAGGCUCUGGAGUCCUCACCUCAGGCUCUGCUUCUAGGAGCCCCACCUAUGACACCCAGGAACUUGAGGGGCACCAUUUCCUUCACAAUGCAUUAAUGGCACAAAGGAUAACUUUUUUUUUUUUUUUUUGAAGCUGUGCUCUCUAACCACUGGAGUGUGAAAGCAUCCCAGAUGAAGGCAUUUUCUACACAUUCUGUGUUUGAUUAAACCUAUGGAGUCUCUCGAUAUUACUGUGUUCAGCCUGCUUCAAACUAACCACCUGGUGGAAACUGAGGUGAAAUCCAUGAGGCUUUGGGGAGUGUUCAGAAGAGAGCUGACAAAGGCAAACCUCCAGUCCAACUAUUGAUGAAAGAUGCUGACAGAUACCCCAGUAAAGGAGUCCUAGGGGAGGCUGGGAGAGGAAAAUGUUACUAACGCUGCUGUUGCACACACAAGGGCCCAUGGGAAGCUUAAUCACUUAGUUGAGGUUCCACAGCAAAAAUUGGAAAGGCUCUCCAAGUUGACUCACAGGCCAGGACAUAAGGACAAGAGGGAAGGAGAAGCUGGGGAGGGGGAUGGUCACAAAGUCAGAGGGAAGAGCUCCUGUUUCAUCGCACAUCCAGACCUAGAGAAAAGCAGCUAAGCCCACAGGUAGGCGAUGAUACUGUCUGCUGAUGAUGUGAAGGUGAGAUAGAGGGGAAAUAAUGAGCUUCAGCUUUGCAAAAGUAUGCAGGAGUGGGAGCUGAUCCUCACAUUUGGGUGUAUGAGGAAAUCCAACAGUCUGAAGGGCAAAUGAGAACUUCAGACUGCCCCAGUGACAAGGCCAAGGUUCUGGGGAGG